GGAUAUACAAACAAUAUACACAAAGCUGUAAAGAACACACAAACAUACUUUGACUACUUAUUUAAGUUAGUAUCUCGCAAGUACUUCUAAUCCUAUUAAAGUUAAAGAGACAAUAUUUAAGUUAGUAUCUCGCAAGUACUUCUAAUCCUAUUAAAGUUAAAGAGACAAUUGUAAUUAUACUCAUCACAAAGAUUUUUUGUUACUUUUUUUUUCUUUGUGAACAAUUAAAAAACUUCUUUUCUUGAAAGCCCAUCAUGAGACUGAUACCGA
RNAcentral lists this long non-coding RNA (270 nucleotides) under Brassica rapa (field mustard). RNAcentral describes it as "long non-coding RNA (BRAP_LNC006696)". Lineage: Eukaryota; Viridiplantae; Streptophyta; Magnoliopsida; Brassicales; Brassicaceae. The record is from RNAcentral.